Molecule: ribosomal RNA, 775 nt
Filed under: uncultured Neocallimastigales
Lineage: Eukaryota; Fungi; Neocallimastigomycota; Neocallimastigomycetes; Neocallimastigales
Description: partial large subunit ribosomal RNA
Rfam family: Eukaryotic large subunit ribosomal RNA
Source: RNAcentral
UCAGACGAUGCGUCAUGCAUAUCAAUAAGCGGAGGAAAAGAAACUAACAAGGAUUCCCUUAGUAACGGCGAGUGAAGCGGGAAGAGCUCAAAUUUGAAGUCUUCAAGGUUUUACCUUGACGAAUUGUAGUUUAAAGAAGUGUUUUCUGCUGAAGUUUUGGUAAAAGUUCUUUGGAAUAGGACAUCAUAGAGGGUGAGAAUCCCGUAUUUGACCAUUAUUUUCAGCUUUGUGAUACACUUUCAAAGAGUCGGAUUGUUUGGGAAUGCAGUCCAGAAUGGGUGGUAAAUUUCAUCUAAAGCUAAAUAUUGGCGAGAGACCGAUAGCGAACAAGUACCGUGAGGGAAAGAUGAAAAGAACUUUGAAAAGAGAGUUAAACAGUACGUGAAAUUGUCAAAAGGGAAGCGUUUGACACCAGUGUUGUUUUCUCGAAAAUCAAUUAAAAAUGGCUCGAUUUUGUAUUGCUUGAGACCUUAAAAGCUCACUGUACAUUUUUCGUGUCUUUUUUAAUGCACUUUUCGUUUAACAAGUCAACAUCAGUUUCUUUUGUUGUAAAAGGGUCAUUGGAAGGUGGCUUUCUUUUCGGAGAAAGUGUUUAUAGCCUUUGGCCUCUGCAAUCGGAGAGACUGAGGUCUGCAGCGUAGACUCUUCGGGGUUAGAUACAUUUGUGCUAAGUUAUAGCUUUUUAUAGACAACUUGUUGACUAUAAUUAGUCUUGUAGCUUACUCGCUUAUGCUAUUUUACCUACGCUUAGGAUGUUGAACUACUGAGACAUAGA